This 815-nucleotide small RNA is filed under the name Pongo abelii (Sumatran orangutan). RNAcentral's name for it is "retained intron". Lineage: Eukaryota; Metazoa; Chordata; Mammalia; Primates; Hominidae. The record is from RNAcentral.
UCAUGGCUUCCAGAGACACCCUCCUGAGAGAAGGGCUUAUGCUGAUGUUUUCCUCCUGCCUUCCACUGCGUGGACGGCUCUACAGAGGGCCAGGGCGCAGGCAGUGUGGACAACACAGCGACCCCGGUGCUGUGGGAGUGGGCACUAUUGGGAAGCCACCGUCCAUAGAAGCAGCGUGUUCCAGGCAGGUGCAGAGGUGGGAGGCAGCAUCUUCCCAGUGCGAUGUCCCCAGGUGGGGGGCCUCAUCGCCCACCCCCAGCGCUGUCCCUACAGGUGCAGCAGGAGCGGGAUGAGCUUUAUCGGAAGUUCACUGCAGCCAUCCAGGAGGUGCAGCAGAAGACAGGCUUCAAGAACCUGGUGCUAGAACGCAAGCUGCAGGCUCUGAGCGCUGCUGUGGAGAAGAAGGAGGUGCAGUUCAACGAGGUCCUGGCUGCCUCUAACCUGGACCCUGCAGCCCUGACGCUGGUGUCCCGCAAGCUUGAGGAUGUUCUGGAAUCGAAGAACAGCACCAUCAAGGACCUGCAGUAUGAGCUGGCCCGGGUCUGUAAGUGCUGCGCACAUAUGAGGCAAAGCUCCUGGCCUUCGGGAUCCCUCUGGACAACGUGGGCUUCAAGCCCUUGGAAACAGCUGUGAUCGGACAGAUGCUGGGCCAGGGUCCCGCGGGACUGGUGGGCACCCCGACGUAGCUGCCCCCCUGGGGGGCCACAGCCCAGAGAGCCAGCCUAGGAACACUCUCGGGAUGACACCCCUUUUCACACCAAGGACAGCACGUUUUUUAGAUUUUAUCAUCAGCAAAUGAAAGCUUUUCACAUGUU